RNAcentral lists this ribosomal RNA (442 nucleotides) under uncultured bacterium. RNAcentral describes it as "partial 16S ribosomal RNA". It matches the Rfam family "Bacterial small subunit ribosomal RNA", at positions 338 to 795 of the family's 1533-position model. The record is from RNAcentral.
CCUACGGGCGGCUGCAGUGGGGGAUAUUGCACAAUGGGGGAAACCCUGAUGCAGCGACGCCGCGUGGGCGAAGAAGUAUUUCGGUAUGUAAAGCCCUAUCAGCAGGGAAGAAGAAAUGACGGUACCUGAGUAAGAAGCACCGGCUAAAUACGUGCCAGCAGCCGCGGUAAUACGUAUGGUGCAAGCGUUAUCCGGAUUUACUGGGUGUAAAGGGAGCGCAGGCGGCACGGCAAGCCUGAUGUGAAAGCCCGCGGCCCAACCGCGGGACUGCAUUGGGAACUACCGGGCUGGAGUGCCGGAGAGGUAGGCGGAAUGCCUAGUGUAGCGGUGAAAUGCGUAGAUAUUAGGAGGAACACCAGUGGCGAAGGCAGCCUACUGGACGGUGACUGACGCUGAGGCUCGAAAGCGUGGGGAGCAAACAGGAUUAGAUACCCCGGUAGUC